AGGAUGAACGCUGGCGGCGUGCCUAACACAUGCAAGUCGAACGUCCUGUCUCGCAAGAGGCAGGGAGUGGCGGACGGGUGAGUACCACGUGGGUCAUCUACCGUGAGGUGAGGAAUACCGGCGAGAAAUCGCCGACAAGACCGCAUAGGCUCGAUGCAAGUCGAGCAAAGCUCUCUCGAGAGAGGGAGCGCCACACGAGGAGCCUGCGCCCGAUUAGCUAGCUGGUGGAGUAAUGGUUCACCAGGGCGACGAUCGGUAGCUGGUCUGAGAGGACGAUCAGCCACACUGGGAUUGAGAACGGCCCAGACUCCUACGGGGGGCAGCAGUGAGGAAUUUUCGUCAAUGGGGGCAACCCUGAACGAGCAACGCCGCGUGCAGGAAGAAGGUUUUCGGAUCGUAAACUGCUUUUCUCGGGGAAGAGAACGGACGGUACCCGAGGAAUCAGCCCCGGCUAACUACGCGCCAGCAGCCGCGGU
RNAcentral lists this ribosomal RNA (476 nucleotides) under uncultured bacterium. Its description in RNAcentral is "SSU rRNA". It matches the Rfam family "Bacterial small subunit ribosomal RNA", at positions 26 to 521 of the family's 1533-position model. The record is from RNAcentral.